GGCGAAGGAGAGGAAUCUUACCUCUGAUGCCGAGAUAGGUAGACGUGAUGUUUACUUAAGAGCCCAUACAAGCAAGGACAAAGUUGUCCAGUAUCCUGACCUUAUUGAAAAAUUAGAUGAGCUUUAUUCUAGCAAUCCUUCUUCUAAGAUUACCAACGUUGACGAUGCCCUCACACAGUUGGUUGGUUCUGACAGUAGAGGGCGAAUGCGGGGUCUAGGUUGCUCAAUAACCAAGACAGGACUGAAGAUGUCAGCCCCUGCCCGUUCAAAGGUAGAGAAUUUGAUAAAAGAAAGAGAUAGCCUAGUGUAGGAGAUAUUUGAUAUAAAGAAAUCAUUGGCCAAGAUGGAGGCAUGGAUGGAGAUGCAGCAACAUGCAUAAUCUACUCAAAACCUCUCAUCACCAACAAUUGCUAAAUCUGCUCAGGCAUCGUCACCGGAUAUUAUAUAUAUCGGUAAGAGCUGCGACUUGCUUGGUUAGGGCAAUGGUGAUGUAGUUGCUCGUGGUCAAGUACAUGAAGUUAAUCCAAAUGCAGUUGUCCAUUGCAAACCAUUGGAGGAGGGAGCUUUUGUUAUUACCCUAAUUGAGAUUAUACAUCCAGACACUCAUUUGUGGAAAGAAGAUGGGUUCGCAUCUACACUUGGAGAUGCUAGUCCAGGAUCACUUGUGCAAUGGGGGAAGGAAUCUUUGAUAUUUCAAUAAUUUGAACAAAUUUAGUACUCUAUAAUUGAACUUGGUGUGGAUGCUUUUUUUAGUUACUUUAUAUGAUGUUUCACUUAUUUUUUUGGUUAAUUUUGAACUAAUUUGGCACUUUAGUUACUUUAUAUUGAUGAACUCAGAACUUAGUUUGGUUUUUAGUUACUUU
Molecule: long non-coding RNA, 863 nt
Organism: Magnolia sinica
Lineage: Eukaryota; Viridiplantae; Streptophyta; Magnoliopsida; Magnoliales; Magnoliaceae
Exons: 4
Source: RefSeq, a predicted model, not a curated record